This is a long non-coding RNA of Pongo abelii (Sumatran orangutan), 2180 nucleotides long. The record is from Ensembl. Lineage: Eukaryota; Metazoa; Chordata; Mammalia; Primates; Hominidae.
CAGUGGUAUUCCUGCAGCUUUCUCUCCUCUCCACCUCCUUUCUUGUUCAGCAGCCUCUGGACCCCCAAGGGCUAAGGAAUCUGACACAUCGGGUUUGGAUCCUGACUCCACUAGGAGCCAUGUGAUCUCAGGGACAUUUCUUGACCUCUCUGAGCCCUUUUUCCUUCUUCUACAAUGUGGGGGAAAGACUCCCUCUCUCACAGGGUUACUAUGAGAAUUCAAUGACUCCAAGUAUCCAAAGCAUCUGGCACAGUGCCUGGGCACACAGUGUAACCUACAUGCACCUUAGCUUCCUUCCUUCUGGCAGGGAAGAGAAGAUACCUGAUAAAUCAAUGCCAGAGCCAGCUUCUCAGGGGCAUUUGCUUUAUAAAAGAGCCUGGUCCCUUUAACAGAGCCCAAGAAAUGACUCUCUAAUGGUGGAAUUUCAGAUACCAUAACAUGGGUGAGGGAGAGAUCUGGAGGCAUAGACUUUAGAAGCCUCAGAAUCAUUUGAAUCCAGCCAGGCAGACUGCUGCUGCUUCUGCCCAGGGGCAAGGCUGGUGAUAGAGUUUGGCUGUAACCCCACCCAAAUCUCAUCUUGAAUACCCAUGUGUUGUGGGAGGGCCCUGGUGGGAGGUAACUGAAUCACGGGGGCAGGUUUCCCAUGCUGUUUGCAUGAUAGUGAAUAAGUCUCACGAGAUCUGUUUUAAAAAUGGGAGUCUCCUUGCACAUGUUCACUUCUCUUGUCUGCCACCACGUGAGACGUGCCUUUCACCUUCCACCGUAGUUGUGAGGCCUCCUCAGCCACGUGGAACUGUAAGUCCAAUAAACCUCUUUCUUUUGUAAAUUGCCCAGUCUUGGGGAUGUCUUUAUCAGCAGUGUGAAAACAGACUAAUACAGCUGGCGUGGCAGAAGGAAUACUAACCCUCUCUUUAAGGUCAUGCCACCGUAGCCAGGCAAGGGCCCAUUUCAGGGAGCCAGGAGAAGGGAGCUAAUUUGUUUUUAUGCAACCAUCCCUGCCAGAGACGAAGUAGCUUCAUGUGGGUGUAAACCAGGGGCUUUAAAAAUACAGCAGUCCUUUAGGGCAAUCAUUAAAUCCCCUCCUCAUGCCCCUGAAAAGUCACUUGUCACAGGGCUGUCCUCAUAGCCUGAACCACCAUGAGCUCUCAUGGGGGAGUUCUUGUGUCAUUUAUACCCCACCUGCUUUUGAAGAGGAUCCCAGGUAUCUUGCAAAGGAAGGAGUAAUGCACCUAAUACUGAGCUUUCCACCUUGUUCUUCCCAACUCUCACGGUACAUGAUGGCUAAAAUCAAAAUCUGAUAAACGAGUGGUCACAAGAGAAUGAAACAAUAACGCUGCCAGUAAGAAGCUGAAUAUUCUGUUCAAAAGUUCAUCUGCAAAUAUAGCCACGCUCUUCUUCCUCAACGGUAGUCCUUUUAAUUUUAAGCUGAUCUAUCACUCAGCCCUUAUUCAUGCAUAAUUCUCAGUAAAGAUAGGGUGCAUCUAGGGUCUGCAUGCCCACAAUCAUUUUAUAGCCCCGAGAUAACAACAAAAAGCCACUCAAUGGACAAUCUUAAAACAUGCACCCAAAACCAUGGCUGACAGUAUGGGAAAAUGUCCUUCAGACCAAAGAGGCAGAGAGAGAGAGAAGGAGAGAGAAGGACAAGAGCGCAAAAGUAAAAGAUUCAAGAUGAGACAAAAGGACUAGAAUGGUUCCACAAUAGAACAUCUGCAGUUGGGGGAGAAGGGGACAAAGCAGAUAAAACUAAGGAAAGCUCUAUGGAUCUGGGAGCGCCUCUCCAAGUAUUUGGUUCAUGCUAAAAAAUAGAGCACAUUUAUUAAAAAUAUAUAUUUAUAAACCUUGAUAUGAACAGAUACACAUGUCAAGCCAAUGAAAAAAGAAAAAUAAGUUAUCUCCCCGGUAUCAAAUAGUUAGACACUUUUGAUGAAUGGGAUGCCUGUCAAAGGGCUGCCCCUGUGGUUUUUCCACUAAAUAGCUCGUCAAGUGAAGAUGAAACACUUGUCCUGGGAGACACACAUCUGAGCCAUGUCCACCCUAUUCAUCUUUUCAAAUAUGUGAUAUCCGUCAGCGAUCUGGAAUAAUGAAUUUCUGCACCCAUCCGCUCACCGAUGGUGUCAGAGGCUGGUCUUCCAAGCAUUCUUCUGGGCCCCCUGCCAAAGACGUUGAGUUCCUAGUGCUGU